GACGAACGCUGGCGGCGUGCCUAAUACAUGCAAGUCGAGCGAGCGGAACCAACAGAUUUACUUCGGUAAUGACGUUGGGAAAGCGAGCGGCGGAUGGGUGAGUAACACGUGGGGAACCUGCCCCUAAGUCUGGGAUACCAUUUGGAAACAGGUGCUAAUACCGGAUAAUAAAGCAGAUCGCAUGAUCAGCUUUUGAAAGGCGGCGUAAGCUGUCGCUAAGGGAUGGCCCCGCGGUGCAUUAGCUAGUUGGUAAGGUAACGGCUUACCAAGGCGACGAUGCAUAGCCGAGUUGAGAGACUGAUCGGCCACAUUGGGACUGAGACACGGCCCAAACUCCUACGGGAGGCAGCAGUAGGGAAUCUUCCACAAUGGACGCAAGUCUGAUGGAGCAACGCCGCGUGAGUGAAGAAGGUUUUCGGAUCGUAAAGCUCUGUUGUUGGUGAAGAAGGAUAGAGGUAGUAACUGGCCUUUAUUCGACGGUAAUCAACCAGAAA
This 494-nucleotide ribosomal RNA is filed under the name uncultured bacterium. RNAcentral describes it as "bacterial SSU rRNA". It matches the Rfam family "Bacterial small subunit ribosomal RNA", at positions 28 to 489 of the family's 1533-position model. The record is from RNAcentral.